GUGGGGAAUAUUGGACAAUGGGCGAAAGCCUGAUCCAGCCAUGCCGCGUGUGUGAAGAAGGUCUUCGGAUUGUAAAGCACUUUAAGUUGGGAGGAAGGGCAGUAAGUUAAUACCUUGCUGUUUUGACGUUACCGACAGAAUAAGCACCGGCUAACUUCGUGCCAGCAGCCGCGGUAAUACGAAGGGUGCAAGCGUUAAUCGGAAUUACUGGGCGUAAAGCGCGCGUAGGUGGUUUUGUAAGUUGGAGGUGAAAUCCCCGGGCUCAACCUGGGAACUGCCUCCAAAACUACAUGACUAGAGUACGGUAGAGGGUAGUGGAAUUUCCUGUGUAGCGGUGAAAUGCGUAGAUAUAGGAAGGAACACCAGUGGCGAAGGCGACUACCUGGACUGAUACUGACACUGAGGUGCGAAAGCGUGGGGAGCAAACAGGAUUAGAAACCCGGGUAGUCC
Molecule: ribosomal RNA, 450 nt
Filed under: uncultured bacterium
Lineage: Bacteria
Description: partial 16S ribosomal RNA
Rfam family: Bacterial small subunit ribosomal RNA
Source: RNAcentral